This 253-nucleotide ribosomal RNA is filed under the name uncultured bacterium. RNAcentral describes it as "partial 16S ribosomal RNA". It matches the Rfam family "Bacterial small subunit ribosomal RNA", at positions 524 to 776 of the family's 1533-position model. The record is from RNAcentral.
UACGUAGGGGGCAAGCGUUGUCCGGAAUCAUUGGGCGUAAAGGGCGCGUAGGUGGCUUCUUAAGCGUGCGGCGAAAGCCUGGGGCUCAACCCCGGGUCGGCCGUGCGAACUGGGGGGCUGGAGCACUGUAGAGGCAGGCGGAAUUCCGGGUGUAGCGGUGGAAUGCGUAGAGAUCCGGAAGAACACCGGUGGCGAAGGCGGCCUGCUGGGCAGUUGCUGACACUGAGGCGCGACAGCGUGGGGAGCAAACAGG